GAUGAACGCUGGCGGCGUGCCUAAUACAUGCAAGUCGAGCGAACAGACGAGGAGCUUGCUCCUCUGACGUUAGCGGCGGACGGGUGAGUAACACGUGGAUCACCUACCUAUAAGACUGGGAUAACUUCGGGAAACCGGAGCUAAUACCGGAUAAUAUAUUGAACCGCAUGGUUCAAUAGUGAAAGACGGUUUUGCUGUCACUUAUAGAUGGAUCCGCGCCGCAUUAGCUAGUUGGUAAGGUAACGGCUUACCAAGGCAACGAUGCGUAGCCGACCUGAGAGGGUGAUCGGCCACACUGGAACUGAGACACGGUCCAGACUCCUACGGGAGGCAGCAGUAGGGAAUCUUACGCAAUGGGCGAAAGCUUGACGGAGCAACGCCGCGUGAGUGAUGAAGGUCUUCGGAUCGUAAAACUCUGUUAUUAGGGAAGAACAAAUGUGUAAGUAACUAUGCACGUCUUGACGGUACCUAAUCAGAAAGCCACGGCUAACUACGUG
RNAcentral lists this ribosomal RNA (497 nucleotides) under uncultured bacterium. Its description in RNAcentral is "partial 16S ribosomal RNA". It matches the Rfam family "Bacterial small subunit ribosomal RNA", at positions 28 to 507 of the family's 1533-position model. The record is from RNAcentral.